Molecule: unclassified non-coding RNA, 660 nt
Filed under: Hevea brasiliensis (rubber tree)
Lineage: Eukaryota; Viridiplantae; Streptophyta; Magnoliopsida; Malpighiales; Euphorbiaceae
Source: RNAcentral
AAACAAUAUAACUAGAUAAUGGUAUUUCAAUACCUCAAGUUUACACAAUUUAAAAAGGCAGAGUAAUAUUUCCAACAAGAUUCUCCUCCUAACAGAUACUGCAGAUAUUCAACAGAAUAUUACCAAAACUGAAAGCAAUAUGACAUACGAUGAACAAAAUCGGAUAGGACCAGACAAUUAAUUAAAAUCAACACUGUUUUCUUUGCGCUUCAACUCCAAUGCUAUUCGCUCAUUCUCAAGCUUCAUCCUUUCAUUUUCAAUCCUCAUCUUCUCUAGUUCAUGAUCUCUUUUCCUGCUAAAUCUUUUCCACUUGAAUCGCUGCUUUUCCAGUUCUAACGUCUCAAGUUGAAUUUGUAACUUUUGCUCUUCUAACUGAAUUGUGCGAGAUUCCAUCCACUGCUUCUGUGACCAUGCUGCUCUCGUACUUUCAGACGACAUUUGAUUCAUAUCGACCUGACCGAUCUGCAGGUGAGAAUAGGAACCUUUGUUACCAUCCUGAGAUGAAUGCCCAAAACAAGCAUCUUCAUGGCCCUGGCCAUGUCUCAACCUUUUCACAGAGCCCCCUGAGACCGCACAUAUUCCCCUGCUAUCCCCACGUGAAGUAUGAUUCUCCUCAAAUUCAUCAUGAUCCUCAGUUUCCACUUCUUGAUCAUCUUCAUC